Molecule: non-coding RNA, 117 nt
Organism: Clostridium tetanomorphum DSM 665
Lineage: Bacteria; Bacillati; Bacillota; Clostridia; Eubacteriales; Clostridiaceae
Source: Rfam
UCUGGUGAUUAUGGCUUGAAGGUAACACCCGUUUCCAUACCGAACACGAUGGUUAAGCUUCAAAGCGCUGAUGGUACUGCAGGGGAGGCUCUGUGGGAGAGUAAGUCGUUGCCAGGU